Scophthalmus maximus (turbot) is the source of this 4002-nucleotide long non-coding RNA. The record is from Ensembl. Lineage: Eukaryota; Metazoa; Chordata; Actinopteri; Pleuronectiformes; Scophthalmidae.
GAGAGAGGGAGGGAGGGAGGGAGAGGGAGAGAGAGAGAGAUGUCCAAUACUGCCAAUAUGAAUUUAUCUCUUCUGCUCUAAUUCACCGACCAGAUAAGAGCACAGCUCAAUGUAUCCUUUCUCUCUCUGUCACUCGCUACCUCUCUCCACCACACACACACACACACUCACACACACACACUCACACGCGCGCGCGCGCCGCAGCCGCAUGCGUCCGUCCUCGCGCCAGCGGGUGGCCGCCUGGCUGCUCGCGCUGCCGUCGGGGAGCGGCGGGGAGGAGUGCGCGCGCCGCGGCCGCCUGGAGAUGAUCUCGUUCUGGCUGCUGUGCUGGAAGCUGUUGAGAGCCACAGCUGGUGUGAGGAGGACAACAGCUGAGCUAACUGACGGUAACCCCGACAACGGCAGCUCUGGCAACAGUCACCCUGUGGACGAUUCUUCCAAUCCUACACAGCCGACGGAUCCAGUUACCAUGGAGAUCAGCUCCUCACCACCACUAGCAGACCUGGAGAGAGACAACCUUUUCAACUUCCACAACCAGGAAGUGGAGGAACUCCAGUACCCAGAGUUCCACGGGUUGGAAGAAGAUGCAGAGGGAGAAGAUGGAAAAAGGGAAGGAGACGAGUGUGACUAUCUUGUUUUUGAGAUAGAAGAAAGAGGAGGUGAAAGUGAAGAGGGACAAGACGCAGCGAGAGGAGAAAAGGAGGGAGGAAGAGGAGAAAUUGAGGGAGAGGAUGAACUGAGAGGAGAGAUAGAAGGAGAAGAAGGGAGAGGAGAAACAGAGGGGGAAGUUGAAGAAAGUGGAGAAAUCGAAUUUGAAGACAAAGAUAGGGGAGAAGUCAAGGGAGACGAUGGAAGUAAGGUAGAAACCGAGAGCAAAGAUUGUGGGAGCAGAGAGAUAGAGGGAGAAGAUGAAGGAAGUGGAGAAGCAGAGGGAGCGGGAAAAGAAGAUGCUCUGUCGGAGCUUCUCUUCUUCUCCGACAGUCCACUGUGCCCCCCGUCCUCCUCCGAACACCCGACUGUCACCUCAGAGCAGCCAGCGGAGUCGGCCCUGUUGCAGGAUGCCUGGGUUCACGACCUGGGCGACAGGGAUGACCUCAGCGACGGUCACCUGAGCGACUGUCUCCAGGCAGAGUUGGCCGUCGUGUACUCGGACAGUGACGCCGGAGACGACCAGUGGGCGUCCUUCACGGCCACGGAGGUCAGCCAGCAGGAGCAAACGUGCGAUGGAGAGAGCAAGCAAGAGGAGAGAAGAGAGGGGGAAACAGAGGAGGAGAGGAGGGGAGGCAGGGAUGAUGAUGAUGGUGAUGAUCAGCAGCAGACGAUGAGGAGAGAGCUUUUCUUGCAGUCUCCUUCUGCCAGCUCCACAGCCAGCUCCUCGGACCCUGACAAGAGGGCUCCUGCGGAUUUCUGCGUGCACCAGGAGACGCUCAGUGCCAACGUCUCCACCGAGCAUGUCGACUUUCUGCUGGCCCGCCGGCAGUGGAAGAAGAUGGAGGAGGAUGUCAAAGGUCAGCCCAUCCCCAAACCGGGGCUCAGGGCUCAGGGGAGCUUCCAGGGCACCCACACGUCACUGUACCCCCCAACGCGCAGCCCCCGACUCAAACACAGGGAUAUCCAUCCACCAAUGCCCCGGGAGCCGCCGCUGUCCUCCACUCUGUCCCCCAGUUCAGAGGACUCGGGCCUGGAUGACCCGUCGUACCGCAGCCCCCUGGAGGAGCCCGAGAGCGCCGUGGAGAGAGAGAUACGACUGACUCUGGAGAGAGAAGAGAGGCACCGCAGGGAGAGGGGGAGGAUUGCACAGGGUCUGACUGUACCCAGACCAUCCAGCCUGCAGACAGGACGCUCUCCACCCCGACCUCCUGCCUGCCGCACCCCCACUCUGUCCGUCUCUCCUUCCCCUCCCUGCUCCUCUACCCUCCCCCGAUCCGUCUACCAUGAAAUGACCGCCAACAACGUCAUCAUCCUGGAGCCCGACUCCUCCAGCUCCGCCUCCAGGAGCCGCCUACUCUCCUCCGCAAUCGGGGGGUCUCUCCGAUUGGCCGAUGAGCCUGGACGCGGUGCCCUCGGCCAACGUCAUCGUCGUGGAAACCUCCAACUUGAUCAUUCGCAGCGCCUCCGAGUUCUGCCUGAGCGCCGCCGUCGCCGCCGCCCCGGUCACGCUGGAGACGCAGGAGAGCACUUUCUCUCGUCCAAUCCGUUCUUCAAGCUGCGCUCGCUCAGCAGCCAGUCGCUUGUGGAACGGGAGAUCAGGAUGGUGAAGCAGAGGGAGGAGGAGUGGAGGAGGCAGAGGGAGGAGAUGUGGAGGAGGAGGAGAGAGGAGGAGUGGAGGAGAGGGAGGGAGAGGUACGAAACUGUGCUGGUGUCUCCAGGCCUGAAUGAUAACAUCAGCUUCAAUGUGCCAGAGGUUCCAGACAGAUGUGUCUCCUCCCCUUCAUCCCCGUCCAGAAUCCGCAAAAUGGAACGAUCCAGUUUGUCUUGUGACCAUAAGUUCCCCGCUUUCCUCUCUUCAGUGCCUCAACGACAGAACGCCAUGGCACAGAGAUGGGAGGCCUCCCUUUUAGCCAAUCAGAAGAAGGAGUGAGCAGGGCAGCGUUCGACACACCAUCGCUUAUUCCUCACUUUGCGCUUAACACUCACACAUUCCUGUCCUUCAGCGAUGUGCUGCAGUGAACUAUGAGUUCUGUUCACUGGUUUGACACAUUAAGAUUACUGUACUGACCGGGUCUGGGUUCACAUAUUUUAGUUGUUGAAAAAGUGAAAUAAUGAUUUUCUGCAUGCUGUCUAUGUAACAGUAUGACAAUGGAAGGUGAAAUGCUUUUCUUAUACAUAUAUUAAGAUCUUUCUGUGGCACAUUACUUGAGGGUGUAUCAAAAUAAUAACCGAGUAUAAAAUUGUAACCUUAAUAAUACCAGUUUUGACUUGGACCAAAGUUAUCUAUAGUGAUUUAUGCUGCGUUCCAUUAUACUUCGGAGCUCGGAACUCGGGUUUAUCGUUCCAGAAAAAUCUCGGAACUCGGAAUAACGACCUCCGAGGUAUAGUGGAACGCAGCAAAACUUUGGGAACUGGUAUCAAACACUUCUGCAUUCUCCUUUAAUAUUCACUGCACUUUCAUUUUCUAGAUGUGAAAAAUUGCACUGGUGCAACUAUUUAUUGAUACUGAUUGAUUUUUUAGUACUGUGACUGACUGUAAUACAGUGAUUUUCAAAGCUUUCCUGGGCAGUUAUACAUCAAUUUCUGACUUUUGAUUUAAUGCGUUCAUAAUUUAAAGUGAGACAUUUGAAAGCAUAUGUUUAUUUUAAAAUGCAUUGGAGAGAUUCCAGGGACAUGCUAAAAAUAAUAAGCAUGUUGUUCUUUUCAUAUGGCAAAAUGUAUUUUAAAGGUUCCAAUCCAGACUUUGAAAAUCACUGCCUUAGUAAAAAUUUUAUUAUGGACCAGAUUUCCUGCUCAGCCACCAAACAAUGCUCAUAGAAUAUAAUCUGGGUCACAUUGUACCAUAUAGACUUCAGUCACUCAAGGCAGCCGCAUUCACUUCUGAAGAUAUACAGUAGGGCUACAUCUGCUAACAAAAAGGUAAUUAUAGCACAUAAGAGUCUGUGUGUUCAGACUGAAUGCUCACUCACGAGCCCGAAACUGAGCAACUGAGGAGGCCACACACUCAUGCUGUGUUCCAUUGUACCUCGGAACUUGGAGCUCGGAAGUCAGGGUCAUCAUUCUGUCGUAAUCUUGGAAUUCAUGCUGCCUUCACAUGCUAGUUGGAAGAUCCACAUUCUCACGUGGGAAGUUGGAAUUACCAGAAUGUCAAGUUCAAGUACUUUUCUGUCGGAACGAAAUUGAAAAAAUGGCGAAAUGGCUGAUGUAAUAACUUUGCACCACGCUAGCAGACUAUAAUCCAUUUGUUAUGGAUAGAACAAGUCGGCAACUCGUAUUUACCAUAAUUCCGUAAGCAUAUGAAGGGAGCAUUACACUCUGAAGGUCAGAGGACAUUCAUACGGAAGCUGAGAU